GAUGAACGCUGGCGGCGUGCCUAAUACAUGCAAGUCGAGCGAACGGACGAGAAGCUUGCUUUUCUGAUGUUAGCGGCGGACGGGUGAGUAACACGUGGAUAACCUACCUAUAAGACUGGGAUAACUUCGGGAAACCGGAGCUAAUACCGGAUAAUAUUUUGAACCGCAUGGUUCAAAAGUGAAAGACGGUCUUGCUGUCACUUAUAGAUGGAUCCGCGCUGCAUUAGCUAGUUGGUAAGGUAACGGCUUACCAAGGCAACGAUGCAUAGCCGACCUGAGAGGGGGAGCGGCCACACUGGAACUGAGACACGGUCCAGACUCCUACGGGAGGCAGCAGUAGGGAAUCUUCCGCAAUGGGCGAAAGCCUGACGGAGCAACGCCGCGUGAGUGAUGAAGGUCUUCGGAUCGUAAAACUCUGUUAUUAGGGAAGAACAUAUGUGUAAGUAACUGUGCACAUCUUGACGGUACCUAAUCAGAAAGCCACGGCUAACUACGUG
RNAcentral lists this ribosomal RNA (497 nucleotides) under uncultured bacterium. RNAcentral's name for it is "partial 16S ribosomal RNA". It matches the Rfam family "Bacterial small subunit ribosomal RNA", at positions 28 to 507 of the family's 1533-position model. The record is from RNAcentral.